CAGUCGCCGCGGGAAUACGGAGGGUGCAAGCGUUAUCCGGAUUUAUUGGGUUUAAAGGGUCCGUAGGCGGACUUAUAAGUCAGUGGUGAAAGCCUGUCGCUUAACGAUAGAACUGCCAUUGAUACUGUAAGUCUUGAGUAUAUUUGAGGUAGCUGGAAUAAGUAGUGUAGCGGUGAAAUGCAUAGAUAUUACUUAGAACACCAAUUGCGAAGGCAGGUUACCAAGAUAUAACUGACGCUGAGGGACGAAAGCGUGGGUAGCGAACAGGAUUAGAUACCCCGGUAGUCCCUGUCUCUUAUAC
RNAcentral lists this ribosomal RNA (301 nucleotides) under uncultured bacterium. Its description in RNAcentral is "partial 16S ribosomal RNA". It matches the Rfam family "Bacterial small subunit ribosomal RNA", at positions 509 to 807 of the family's 1533-position model. The record is from RNAcentral.